RNAcentral lists this signal recognition particle RNA (300 nucleotides) under Sus scrofa (pig). Its description in RNAcentral is "Metazoan signal recognition particle RNA (ENSSSCG00035022018.1)". It matches the Rfam family "Metazoan signal recognition particle RNA". Rfam says of the family: The signal recognition particle (SRP) is a universally conserved ribonucleoprotein. It is involved in the co-translational targeting of proteins to membranes. The eukaryotic SRP consists of a 300-nucleotide 7S RNA and six proteins: SRPs 72, 68, 54, 19, 14, and 9. Lineage: Eukaryota; Metazoa; Chordata; Mammalia; Artiodactyla; Suidae. The record is from RNAcentral.
GCCGGGCGCGGUGGCGCGCGCCUGUAGUCCCAGCUACUCGGGAGGCUGAGGCUGGAGGAUCGCUUGAGCCCAGGAGUUCUGGGCUGCAGUGCGCUAUGCCGAUCGGGUGUCCGCACUAAGUUCGGCAUCAAUAUGGUGACCCUCCGGGAGCGGGGGACCACCAGGUUGCCUAAGGAGGGGUGAACCGGCCCAGGUCGGAAACGGAGCAGGUCAAAACUCCUGUGCUGAUCAGUAGUGGGAUCGCGCCUGUGAAUAGCCACUGUACUCCAGCCUGGGCAACAUAGCGAGACCCCGUCUCUU